UUACUCAGGUAUAUUAUAUAUAUAUAUGAGUCAUGUCAUUGUGGAUCUGCCACUCUGCCAAAAAAAUAAUGUUUAGACUUAAUAACAUAUUGUAUCACAGCACCUCUCCUCUCUAAAGAUCUCAUUUAACAAUAUGAAUACUAUCUUGUCUCUCCAAUAUAUAACUCUGAAAUCAAAAUAAUGAUCUUGUGUUGUUCUUGUCUAUAACUGUCAUGUAUGUAUUAUGUAGACAGACCCCAGGGAAGAGAAGCUGCUGUAUGUGCAGUAUCUAAUGGGGAUCCUAAUAAACUAAAAUGCAGCGUGAACAGCAAGAAAGUGCUCGUGACUGUGGUUGAGCAACUGCUCUCUCCUUGAGUGAUAGGGGGCGGGGCUUGGUGUGGUUAGCAGCGCAUGCAGCAGGAAGGAGAGGGAGAGAGAGGAUUUCAAGUAGCAAACUAUUUUUUAAAAAAAACGGACAUUUAGCAAACCAAAACAUUAAAAUACAGUUAUACAAAAAGCCAAACCGGUCCGUGCUUCAGUACCACCCAUCCCUAGCGGGAACACAAGUCCUUUAUCCUUUAUGAAUGGGUUGACACUGGAAGCCAUUACUGUUUUAUGUAACUAGCUAGAUAACAUUUGUGUCCUUUUCUGCCUUGUUGUUUAAACCAAAAGAUAUGCUAGCUCUUCAACUAACGCCCUUUUAUCUGUUCUUUAGCUGGCUAGGUAUACAACUAACCCCAUGUUAUCUAUACUUUAGCUUCAGCUGGCUAGGUAUACAACUAACCCCAUGUUAUCUAUACUUUAGCUUCAGCUGGCUAGGUAUACAACUAACCCCAUUUUAUCUAUACUUUAGCUUCAGCUGGCUAAGGUAUACAACUAACCCCAUUUUAUCUAUACUUUAGCUUCAGCUGGCUAGGUAUACAACUAACCCCAUGUUAUCUAUACUUUAGCUUCAGCUGGCUAGGUAUACAACUAACCCCAUUUUAUCUAUACUUUAGCUUCAGCUGGCUAGGUAUACAACUAACCCCAUGUUAUCUAUACUUUAGCUUCAGCUGGCUAAGGUAUACAACUAACCCCAUUUUAUCUAUACUUUAGCUUCAGCUGGCUAGGUAUACAACUAACCCCAUGUUAUCUAUGCUUUAGCUUCAGCUGGCUAGGUAUACAUCUAACCCCAUUUUAUCUAUACUUUAGCUGGCUAAGGUAUACAACUAACCCCAUUUUAUCUAUACUUUAGCUUCAGCUGGCUAGGUAUACAACUAACCCCAUUUUAUCUAUACUUUAGCUUCAGCUGGCUAGGUAUACAACUAACCCCAUUUUAUCUAUACUUUAGCUUCAGCUGGCUAGGUAUACAACUAACCCCAUUUUAUCUAUACUUUAGCUUCAGCUGGCUAGGUAUACAACUAACCCCAUUUUAUCUAUACUUUAGCUUCAGCUGGCUAGGUAUACAACUAACCCCAUUUUAUCUAUACUUUAGCUUCAGCUGGCUAGGUAUACAACUAACCCCAUUUUAUCUAUACUUUAGCUGGCUAGGUAUACAACUAACCCCAUUUUAUCUAUACUUUAGCUGGCUAGGUAUACAACUAACCCCAUUUUAUCUAUACUUUAGCUAGCUAGGUAUACAACUAACCCCCUUUUAUCUAUACUUUAGCUAGCUAACUUUCGUUUACUACCUGAGAAGCUAAUGUGUGUUUAAUCUGUGCUGACAGCUUGAAUUUAAAACAAAAAUUCACCAGCAGGUGCCUGGGGCCUCAUUUAUAACCGUCACACUAAAGUCCGGCAUGCACUAUUUCUGAAAAUUCUGUGCACAUACAAAAAUACUGACAUUUAUAAACUUGGUGCACACCAUACAUACACAUUUUCCCGUUAUAAAUUAGACUGCAAGUAAAACUGAAUGCGAAUGAACGGUCAUUAAAACUCCAUCUGCAAAAUGACCUCCAUACACUUUUUUAUGGUGACAAUAACCCCCUUUGUUUUGCUGAAUAACGUGACUAUUGGCAUUAGGCUACGACAGUCUCUAAAAGAAAGAGUAAAGACAACUUAUCACAUUGCCGUUAGAGAUGUGGGCAGAAAAUGUGGAUAUUUUGCAGUGAUCUUUCCCCCCCCAAACUUAAACAAAUAGUCUGCUCAUUCUGAACAUUUGAGCGUAUAUUCAGAACUAUUUAAAAAGUAGGGUAAUUUGUACAGCCUACACUUCUAUGCAAAAUACAAAUUGUUGUUUAAUAUUCUUCUCCUCAACAGAUUGUGUUCUGAUAUGCUGCUUUGCUAUAGGCUCAGAGAUUAAAUAGGCACGGAUGUCACAGCAAUACUGUAGACUACCCAUAUACUGUCAUAUUUGACAUAAGCUACGGGUCCAUUUAUUGUAAACAUUUUGCCACGCGUCUUUUGCAGUAAUUUAUGAUGUAUCUGGUAAAGGACUGUCAGUUUCUGAAAGAGAGAGAACCAUGACAAAAUGGUUGUGGACCUGUCAGCAAUAAGUUUGAAUUCAAACAUUUUUAUAUAAUGGACUGCCCACCAAUUCUGAAAUAAUGUCUAGGGCAGGCUACCAAAAUAUAAUCAACACAGUCGCAUACAUAGUAGAGCUGGGAAUGACCAGGGACCUCACCACACUGAGGGGCCUCGCCAUAUCGUCACCAUAGAGGGAUCUCACCAUACCAUAUUAUCA
Long non-coding RNA from Oncorhynchus keta (chum salmon), 2641 nucleotides. RefSeq lists it as uncharacterized. The transcript is spliced from 5 exons. The record is from RefSeq and is a predicted model, not a curated record. NCBI's taxonomy places the organism in Eukaryota, Metazoa, Chordata, Actinopteri, Salmoniformes, Salmonidae.